Molecule: ribosomal RNA, 253 nt
Filed under: uncultured bacterium
Lineage: Bacteria
Description: partial 16S ribosomal RNA
Rfam family: Bacterial small subunit ribosomal RNA
Source: RNAcentral
UACGUAGGUGACAAGCGUUGUCCGGAUUUACUGGGCGUAAAGAGCGCGCAGGCGGUCGGUCAAGUCGGGUGUGAAAGCCCCCGGCUCAACUGGGGAGGGUCAUUCGAUACUGAUCGACUCGAAGGCAGGAGAGGAUAGUGGAAUUCCCGGUGUAGUGGUGAAAUGCGUAGAUAUCGGGAGGAACACCAGUGGCGAAGGCGGCAUUCUGGACUGCAACUGACGCUGAAGAACGAAAGCCAGGGGAGCAAACGGG